Molecule: long non-coding RNA, 668 nt
Organism: Carassius carassius (crucian carp)
Lineage: Eukaryota; Metazoa; Chordata; Actinopteri; Cypriniformes; Cyprinidae
Exons: 6
Source: RefSeq, a predicted model, not a curated record
UGGCGUGUUGUGAGUUUGCGUGUGCUGUCAGAGAUCACGCUGCUGCUGCUGCUGAGCCAAGACGAGGUGGAGGAGAGCGAGAGAGAUGGAGGGAGAGAAAGAGAGGCAGAGUGGGAAGGUGAAGGCAUCUCAUCCAACACUCGCUUGCUGACGCUCAUCUCUGAGGCCCUGCUGCCACAGUAUAAGACUCUGCUUCUGGAGUCAGAUCCUGUACCGGUGUAUGCUCUCAAACUGCUGGUGUCCCUCACUGAGUGCAGCUCACCCAUCAGCAGGCUUGUUAGAGAGAGCAGUCUCCUGCCUGAUAUCUUUCAAGUCAUAGAGUAACACAAGAAUAACACAGUCGGCAGCAUGAUGCAGAAUGCCAUGGCUCUCCUCUGCAAUCUGACUGGACAGAAGGGCACAGAACUCCGACCAUUCUACCAGCAAGAGAUCAGACAGUAAUGAAGACACUGAGGCUGCAGAGGAACUACUGCUUAUCAAUAAGCCACUGACAAACCUAAACAACCUCCUCAUUCAGCUGCUGGCGUGUAAUAACAGUGAGGUGUAUGAGGAGGCCAGUCACUGUGUGUCUCUGCUGGCUCAGCUGUACGGAGGAGAGGGUGCGGACUGCCUGCAGCCGGAGGAGCUGCUCAGCCUGGCACACGCACUGCAGACGCAAACUGAACCCA